Taeniopygia guttata (zebra finch) is the source of this 3993-nucleotide RNA transcript. It is a transcript of the gene named 1-acylglycerol-3-phosphate O-acyltransferase 4, with no coding region annotated. NCBI's taxonomy places the organism in Eukaryota, Metazoa, Chordata, Aves, Passeriformes, Estrildidae. The record is from RefSeq and is a predicted model, not a curated record.
CUGUUCCCGGAGUGGAGCCGCCCGGCGGGUGGAGCCUGGCGGCCCCGCCCGAGCCGCCCGCCCGCUCCCGCCGCGUGCGAAGUAGUGGCAGCCGGUGCCGCUCGGCCGCCGCCCGCUCCCGGCGCCCCAGCGCGGCACGCGUGCCCAGGCCCGCCGGCGCCAGGUUGUCUUCUGAAUUUUGUGUCUGAAGGUAUCCUCUUGCUUUCUCAGCAAAUCAUGGACAUCGUUGGCUUUCUGAAGUCUCAAUUCAUUUGCCACCUUCUGAUCUGCUACAUAUUUAUAGUGUCAGGACUGAUCAUUAACUUCAUGCAACUCUUUACACUUAUACUUUGGCCAAUCAACAAGCAACUGUUCAGGAAGAUCAACUGCAGGCUGGCUUACUGCAUUUCAAGCCAGAUGGUGAUGUUGCUGGAAUGGUGGUCAGGCACCGACUGCACCCUUUACACUGAUCCGGAGAGUUACCACAAGUAUGGGAAGGAGAAUGCCAUUGUAAUCCUUAAUCACAACUUUGAAAUUGACUUUCUCUGUGGUUGGAACUUUUGUGAGAGAUUUGGGGUCUUGGGGAGUUCCAAAGUGCUUGCAAAGAAGGAGCUCUCCUACAUGCCUAUCAUUGGCUGGAUGUGGUAUUUCCUAGAGAUAGUCUUCUGCAAGCGCAAGUGGGAGGAAGAUCGGAAAACUGUGGUACAGAAGUUGCUCAAUCUCCGUGACUACCCUGAAGACUUUUGGUUCCUGAUUCAUUGUGAGGGCACAAGGUUCACAGAACAGAAGCACCAGAUCAGCAUGAAGGUAGCUGAAGCCAAAGGUCUGCCCAAGCUCAAGUACCACCUCCUGCCACGAACGAAAGGAUUUGCUGUCACCGUGCAGUGUUUGAGAAAUGUAGUUUCUGCAGUCUAUGAUUCUACCCUUAAUUUUAGAAAUAAUGAAAAUCCAACGUUGCUGGGAGUUCUAAAUGGAAAGAAGUAUCAUGCAGAUUUAUAUGUAAGGCGGAUUCCACUAGAGGAUGUCCCAGAAGAUGAGCAGGAAUGUUCUAUCUGGCUUCACAAACUAUAUCAAGAAAAGGAUGCAUUCCAGGAAGAAUAUUACCGCACAGGAACCUACCCAGCAGUCCCUACAAUACCACCCCGUCGACCAUGGACACUUUUGAACUGGCUUUUCUGGGCCUUAUUGCUGCUGUAUCCCUUGUUCCAGCUGCUCAUCAACAUGAUCAACAGUGGAUCAUCAUUGACACUGGCUAGUUUUGCAUUUGUCAUUAUAAUAGCUCACCUGCUACUCCAGAAUCAGGAAAUCUACUGCAGUCCCUAGUACCCAUUGUAGUAGAUUGCUGGUUUGAAGAGUGGGUUUCAGGACCUGAUACAGGUGCAGCUUCUGUUGGUGUCAGAUGGAUGAUCGGGGUUACAGAAAUUAACAAGGGCUCCACCUAUGGCAACAAUGACAACAAGCAGAAACAAAAGUAGCACCUUCAGAGACUGCUUCAAUCCAGAGGGAACAAAUGCAACUGCUGAAAACUCUUAAGUGCAUAUCACAGUUCUUCAAGUGAGAUCAGAGGAUGAAUAAUUGCUGUGCAUAUCUGAAUUUGUGCUCCUGUUGUUUUCCUCUGGGGUUUGGGCUGGAUGACAUGCUGGAAAGAUGCACUCCUUCGUAUACUCUCAACAACAGAUUUGCACAUGUGUGGUUGGUUUGUUUUCCUAUGAAGUGUCUUAAGUUUUGAAGAAAAAAAAAAAUUCCAGCGUGCUUGUAUGAAGAGACUCUACCUGGAAACUAACCAGAGGUACAAGCUUUAAUGUCAGAAGAUUGUUACAAGAUGAUUAAACUUGAUAGUUGUGUAGCUCACACAGUUUAACAACCAUAAUCUGUCAGUGUUUAAAUACAGUACAGCAGGAUGCUGUGCUUGGUUAUAGCAGUAUUGGACUGAAGCAGCUCUGCUGAACUGGCAGAACUACAGUGGAGUUUUUGUACAUCUUGAACUUAUUCCCACAGUGUGCACUACAUGGGUCCUUCAAAACUUCAGCCAGACCCUGGACAUGCAGACAUCGGAGCCUGGCAGUAGCAGAACCUGGAUUAGAAUUUGGCCUUGUGGCCUGAGCAGAGCUAAGUUACCCAUUGCCCUCUCUUUCCCCAGGCCAUACAUCUGAGGGAUAGCUGAAACUUGUAGUUCUUCAGAAUAAAUGUAAUUUUUAAUUUGGAAAAAUUGAAGUAGUAAAAUGCCUUUUGGCUUUAAAUGCUACUUAAAAUUCCAGGCCAUCCUAACAAUUUCAGAAAGAAAAUAACUGGGCAUGGUGUAGUGGAAUAAUGCAAAGUGUGCAGAAUGUAUGCCCCAUACCCAUACUGUUGUGAUCCUAAUUAACCUGCUUGUCUGUCUUUUCUGAUAAAUUAGUUUACUUGGUGCCUCAUAACAGCCAGCCUGAAGUAAUAGUAAAUUAUUUUCUUCUGAGGAGGAGGGGGAACUAGGAGAGAGACCUAGGACAGUGGGUAUGGCUGAUUUUUUUGUCUGUCUUGAUAUGACACCCCUCUGAAUUAAAUAAAACUAGAAUCAAGCUCUGAGGAAAGAGACAUGACAUUCCCAGCAUUGAUUUCGGGGCAGCUGCCCCCUGUUUUUAAACUUCCAGAGUUAAGGAUCUGCAGGUAACUCGAAAUAACUUGUUUAAAGCAGAAAAAAAAAAAAAAGGAAAAGUGGGGACAUUAACUAACAGCAAAUAUGAUUGGAAAAAAAAUCACAAUUUUUUUAAAGUCUACAGAUCCUGACAUUGAGCAGUAGCAGUUGUGGUUGACAGUUUCAAAGAUAGUCCAUAUUCACUCAGCACAGAGCUAAACCAUGAUAGUCUUUAGUGAGGAAAGUGAGUAGUCUUACUCUAGCAGCUGGUAUAAAAACAUUGCUCUUUUCAUGUAGUAAGACUGAGGCCAGAAGAAAGAGGCUAAUACAACAAUAUGAAUCACUCCAUGAAAUAUGUAUUUGUUAUUCAGUACAUCAGAUAAUCUAGAAACUCACCUUUUUAAUGUGCAGCACCUAAAAAGGUGAAGUAAUGCUUUUAGCAUGGAGCAAUAAGUGAAGUUUAGGGAUAGUGGAGGCAGUAACAUUUCCAAGAUGAAGGAAGGCAUAGGCAGUGUGAGAGACUGCUCUCAGGGGCUUUUUGCCUCAACAUCUUGUGUAUACAUGCAUUCCCUAUGUUCUGAAGCUUUCGGGAGCAUCUCGUUCAAUGUCAUGAACAGAAACAUGGGCUCAGAUGUUUUUAGAGCCCAAGAGUAGAAAAUACUGUAAUGUUUACAAAUACUGUAAUGUUUAGAGUGCCCUGUAACACUCUUACUGAGUAUUGCAUCUUGUAGUAAUGAUCAGGCAUAUUACAAGGCAGACCUGAAGCCACUGUACACAAGAGCUGGAAAACAGCUGGGAGGGGAGAAAGGAAAGGCCUCUCCAGGGUAGCAUUUUACUGUGAACAUUACCUGGCAGGCCCAGUGGCCUUUUCUCAGGGUGGGAAGUGAGCAGUUCUGAGCAGCAAAUACAUAGUCCUGGAGUAACAGGCUCUUGUGUCUUCCUGAGAGCCACAGACUUAACAUGCAGUAAAGAAGACAUCUGGCAUUCCUUAUGAAUCUUAGUCCUUUCCUCUCCAGCUGUGUGCAGUGCCCUUCUCCCAGAGGAAAGUACCAAACAAGUAAAUAUUUCUGAAAGAGUACUAAGAUGAUUUUAUACCCAUUUCCCUGGGACCAACUCUUAGAACAGGCUGAAGGCCAAACAUGCCACUCCUGGAUCCAUCCUCCUAAGCACUUGUGCAAGCCCUGGCACACCACUGAGGCCCUUCCAGCACUCACUGACAGAGAAAGCUUAAUGGUCCUUGCCAAAGUUAAACUUCUCCAGUUCACUGUAUUAAAAGAAUGACAUAGGUUAUUAGGAAGCAGUGUUUGCCCCUCAUCCCCACAAGCAACUGUAUGUUCUAAGACUGCCUUAACAAAAUUAGUCUUAAUGUUUGUUUAUACAAAAAUAAAAUUAUAAAAAGCUAA